GGAUUAGAUACCCUGGUAGUCCACGCCCUAAACGAUGAGUGCUAAAUGUUGGAAUUUUUAUAUUUCAGUAUUGUAGCUAACGCGUUAAGCACUCCGCCUGAGGAGUACGAUCGCAAGAUUAAAACUUAAAGGAAUUGACGGGGGCUCGCACAAGCGGUGGAGCAUGUGGUUUAAUUCGACAAUACGCGAAAAACCUUACCAGCUCUUGACAUCAAAAUCGAGGAGAAUAGAAAUAUUUUCCAUCAGUUAGGCUGGAUUUUGACAGGUGUUGCAUGGCUGUCGUCAGCUCGUGCCG
RNAcentral lists this ribosomal RNA (295 nucleotides) under uncultured bacterium. Its description in RNAcentral is "partial 16S ribosomal RNA". It matches the Rfam family "Bacterial small subunit ribosomal RNA", at positions 775 to 1067 of the family's 1533-position model. The record is from RNAcentral.